GCCCCAAUAGCUCAGUCGGUAGAGCAACGCAUUCGUAAUGCGUAGGUCGCUGGUUCAAGUCCGGCUUGGGGCA
RNAcentral lists this transfer RNA (73 nucleotides) under Martelella mediterranea. It matches the Rfam family "tRNA". From Rfam's summary of the family: Transfer RNA (tRNA) molecules are approximately 80 nucleotides in length. Their secondary structure includes four short double-helical elements and three loops (D, anti-codon, and T loops). Further hydrogen bonds mediate the characteristic L-shaped molecular structure. tRNAs have two regions of fundamental functional importance: the anti-codon, which is responsible for specific mRNA codon recognition, and the 3' end, to which the tRNAs corresponding amino acid is attached (by aminoacyl-tRNA synthetases). tRNAs cope with the degeneracy of the genetic code in two manners: having more than one tRNA (with a specific anti-codon) for a particular amino acid; and 'wobble' base-pairing, i.e. permitting non-standard base-pairing at the 3rd anti-codon position. The record is from Rfam by way of RNAcentral. Lineage: Bacteria; Pseudomonadati; Pseudomonadota; Alphaproteobacteria; Hyphomicrobiales; Aurantimonadaceae.